Molecule: small RNA, 1446 nt
Filed under: Arabidopsis thaliana (thale cress)
Lineage: Eukaryota; Viridiplantae; Streptophyta; Magnoliopsida; Brassicales; Brassicaceae
Description: ATSL209310
Source: RNAcentral
AAAAUUAAGAUUUGCAGAAAUUUAAGAAAAGCUAACAAAUUUGAUUUUGAAAUAUUACCUUAUUCGAAAUGGAGAUUUGCAAAACUACCCUUUUUUUACUACUCUUUUGCAACAAUACCUUUUUAUAUUGUUCAUUUUUAAAAAUAUUCAUUCCCUUGAACAGAAUGACCAAAUUACCCUCAUCUAAUAAGAACAUCUAAUUGGAAACUGAAAGUUUCCCGCCAAAUUUAUUUUUCCCGCCAAAAAAAAAUUUCCGCCAAACUUUUUUUUCCGCCAAAAAAAAAAUCCAGCCAAAAAAAAAUUUCCGCCAAAAUAUUUUCUCGUAAAUUUUUUUUCCUAGCCAAAAAAAAUGCUUUUAAAAAUCCUUGUAAAUUUUUUAAAAACUCUUUUAAAAAACCUUGUAAAGUUUUUUAAAUGCUUUGGUAGUUACUAAAAACCCUUGUAAAUCAUUUUAAAACCUUUUAAAAUCUUUAUAAAGUCUUUAAAAACAUAGGUAAAACUUUAAAACCCCUUUUUAAACCUUUGUAAAUCAUUUUAAAACUUUUUACAAUAGUUUUACAAGAUUUACAAUCGUUUUUAAGCAUAAGUAAGUGGCAUUGAAUGAUUUACAAGGGAUUUUAAAAGCUUAUAAAAGGGUAAAACAUGAUUUACAAUCGUUUUAAAGCAUAGGUAAGUGACAUAGAAUGAUUUACAAGGGAUUUAAAAAGGGUUAGCAUGGUUUACAAUCGUUUUUUAGCAUGUAAAUUUUUUAAAAACUCUUUUAAAAAACCUUGUAAAGUUUUUUAAAAGCUUUGGUAGUUACUAAAAACCCUUGUAAAUCAUUUUAAAACCUCUUAAAAUCUUUAUAAAGUCUUUAAAAACAUAGGUAAAACUUUAAAACCCCUUUUUAAACCUUUGUAAAUUAUUUUAAAACUUUUUACAAUAGUUUUACAAGAUUUACAAUCGUUUUUAAGCAUAAGUAAGUGGCAUUGAAUGAUUUACAAGGGAUUUAAAAGCUUAUAAAAGGGUAAAACAUGAUUUACAAUCGUUUUAAAGCAUAUGUAAGUGACAUAGAAUGAUUUACAAGGGAUUUAAAAAGGGUUAGCAUGGUUUACAAUCGUUUUUAGCAUGAGUAAGUGGCAUUGAAUGAUUUACAAUGGAUUUUAAAAGCUUAUAAAAGGGUAAAACAUGAUUUACAAUCGUUUUUAAAACAUAAGUAAGUGGCAUAGAAUGAUUUACAAGGAUUUUUAAAAAGGGUUAGUGGUUUACAAUGUUUUUUUAAGUAUAAGUAAGUGGUAUUGAAAUGAUUUACAAGAGAUUUUAAAAGCUUAUAAAAUGAAUUUACAAGCAUUUUUUAACUCUUAUAAAGUCUUUACAAGCAUUUUUUAACUCUUAGAAAAAGAAUUGUAAGUAUUUAAAACAUUUGCAACUUUUUUUGAACCAUUUUAAAACUCUUCUAAACCUUUA